UUACUCGGAAUCACUGGGCGUAAAGGACGCGUAGGCGGAUUAUCAAGUCUUUUGUGAAAUCUAACAGCUUAACUGUUAAACUGCUUGAGAAACUGAUAAUCUAGAGUGAGGGAGAGGCAGAUGGAAUUGGUGGUGUAGGGGUAAAAUCCGUAGAGAUCACCAGGAAUACCCAUUGCGAAGGCGAUCUGCUGGAACUCAACUGACGCUAAUGCGUGAAAGCGUGGGGAGCAAACAGGAUUAGAUACCCUGGUAGUCCACGCCCUAAACGAUGUAUACUAGUUGUUGCUGUGCUAGUCACGGCAGUAAUGCACCUAACGGAUUAAGUAUACCGCCUGGGGAGUACGGUCGCAAGAUUAAAACUCAAAGGAAUAGACGGGGACCCGCACAAGCGGUGGAGCAUGUGGUUUAAUUCGAAGAUACGCGAAGAACCUUACCUGGGCUUGAUAUCCAACUAAUCUCUUAGAGAUAAGAGAGUGCUAGCUUGCUAGAAAGUUGAGACAGGUGCUGCACGGCUGUCGUCAGCUCGUGUCGUGAGAUGUUGGGUUAAGUCCCGCAACGAGCGCAACCCACGUAUUUAGUUGCUAACAGUUUGGCUGAGCACUCUAAAUAGACUGCCUUCGUAAGGAGGAGGAAGGUGUGGACGACGUCAAGUCAUCAUGGCCCUUAUGCCCAGGGCGACACACGUGCUACAA
RNAcentral lists this ribosomal RNA (692 nucleotides) under Campylobacter fetus subsp. testudinum. RNAcentral describes it as "bacterial SSU rRNA". It matches the Rfam family "Bacterial small subunit ribosomal RNA", at positions 541 to 1230 of the family's 1533-position model. The record is from RNAcentral. Lineage: Bacteria; Pseudomonadati; Campylobacterota; Epsilonproteobacteria; Campylobacterales; Campylobacteraceae.